UUAUUCAUCUCUGGAGAGCGGUCUUGUUCGAUCAAGACCCACCGAAGGGGAAAGACUUUAUCGCACGGCAAUGCCAUCUCUGGUUAUCGCAAUCAGGGGAUGGGAAUGCCGGUCGAGCGGGUCGAGAUCUCUCAGGUAAAGGGACAGAGGGGCCAGC
This 157-nucleotide non-coding RNA is filed under the name Pirellula sp. Its description in RNAcentral is "Glycine sequence". It matches the Rfam family "Glycine riboswitch aptamer". From Rfam's summary of the family: This family represents the bacterial glycine riboswitch. Glycine riboswitches usually consist of two metabolite-binding aptamers domains with similar structures in tandem. The record is from RNAcentral. Lineage: Bacteria; Pseudomonadati; Planctomycetota; Planctomycetia; Pirellulales; Pirellulaceae. RNAcentral also lists the same sequence under 1 other name.